AUACGGAGGAUCCGAGCGUUAUCCGGAUUUAUUGGGUUUAAAGGGUGCGUAGGUGGUUUGAUAAGUCAGCGGUGAAAGUUUGCAGCUUAACUGUAAAAAUGCCGUUGAAACUGUCGGACUUGAGUGUAAAUGAGGUAGGCGGAAUGCGUGGUGUAGCGGUGAAAUGCAUAGAUAUCACGCAGAACUCCGAUUGCGAAGGCAGCUUACUAAGCUACAACUGACACUGAAGCACGAAAGCGUGGGGAUCAAACAGGAUUAGAUACCCUGGUAGUCCACGCAGUAAGCGAUGAUUACUAGCUGUUUGCGAUACACAGUAAGCGGCACAGCGAAAGCGUUAAGUAAUCCACCUGGGGAGUACGCCGGCAACGGUGAAACUCAAAUGAAUUGACGGGG
Molecule: ribosomal RNA, 393 nt
Filed under: uncultured bacterium
Lineage: Bacteria
Description: partial 16S ribosomal RNA
Rfam family: Bacterial small subunit ribosomal RNA
Source: RNAcentral